GCGACCCCAGGUCAGGCGGGACUACCCGCUGAGUUU
Molecule: ribosomal RNA, 36 nt
Filed under: Zinnia elegans
Lineage: Eukaryota; Viridiplantae; Streptophyta; Magnoliopsida; Asterales; Asteraceae
Also listed under: 10 other names
Description: partial 26S ribosomal RNA
Source: RNAcentral